GAUCCUGGCUCAGGAUGAACGCUGGCGGCGUGCCUAACACAUGCAAGUCGAACGAAGCACCUUUUAAGAUUCUUCGGAUGAUUGAUUGGUGACUGAGUGGCGGACGGGUGAGUAACGCGUGGGUAACCUGCCCUGUACAGGGGGAUAACAGUUGGAAACGGCUGCUAAUACCGCAUAAGCGCACGAGAGGACAUCCUUUCGUGUGAAAAACUCCGGUGGUACAGGAUGGGCCCGCGUCUGAUUAG
RNAcentral lists this ribosomal RNA (245 nucleotides) under uncultured bacterium. RNAcentral describes it as "partial 16S ribosomal RNA". It matches the Rfam family "Bacterial small subunit ribosomal RNA", at positions 15 to 244 of the family's 1533-position model. The record is from RNAcentral.